AUUGAACGCUGGCGGCAUGCCUUACACAUGCAAGUCGAACGGCAGCACGGGUGCUUGCCCCUGGUGGCGAGUGGCGCACGGGUGAGUAAUACAUCGGGACAUGUCCUGUAGUGGGGGAUAGCCCGGCGAAAGCCGGAUUAAUACCGCAUACGAACUAAGGAAGACAGCGGGGGCCCUUCGGGACUCGCGCUUUGGGGUUGGCCGAGGGGUGAUCCGCUCGUGGGUAGGGUAAUGGCCAGCCAAGGCGACGAUCAGUAGCCGGUCGGUGGGGAGGACCAGCAACACGGAGACUAGGACACGUCCCAGACUCCUACGGGAGGCAGCAGUGGGGAAUUUUGGACAUUGGCGAAAGCCUGAUCCAGCAAUGCCGCGUGUGUGAAGAAGGCCUUCGGGUUGUAAAGCACUUUUGUCCGGAAAGAAAUCCUUUGCUCUAAUACAGUCGGGGGAUGACGGUACCGGAAGAAUAAGCACCGGCUAACUACGUG
Molecule: ribosomal RNA, 485 nt
Filed under: uncultured bacterium
Lineage: Bacteria
Description: partial 16S ribosomal RNA
Rfam family: Bacterial small subunit ribosomal RNA
Source: RNAcentral